Molecule: long non-coding RNA, 358 nt
Filed under: Ananas comosus (pineapple)
Lineage: Eukaryota; Viridiplantae; Streptophyta; Magnoliopsida; Poales; Bromeliaceae
Description: long non-coding RNA (ACOM_LNC005525)
Source: RNAcentral
GCGUGGCGUUGAUGUGGCGCCUGCGUGGUGGGAAUAGGGCCUAAUUUGUAAAUAUAAAUUUAAUGGGGUUAUUUGUACAAAUUUUUUUUUGAGAGGGCCAAAUGUAAAAAAAGCCCUUAUAUAUUUUAUAUAGAGAGAGAGAGAGAUGUUAAGGACUUUUCUAAGUUGGCGGAUUUCGUGAAGUUGAAUGGAGUCUUGAAGAGUUGAAGAUGAAGAUUGAAGCGAAGAUUGUGUGAUUCAAGAACUAAAGACUCGUUCGUGAUGCUCUGAAUCUCAGGUAUGUAUGUUAAUAAUAUGUGGUGAGAUUCUAUACAAUUGAUAAGUGUUUGGAAGACUUAUAAGGUUUUUAACUGUAAAA